Molecule: long non-coding RNA, 18579 nt
Filed under: Cucumis sativus (cucumber)
Lineage: Eukaryota; Viridiplantae; Streptophyta; Magnoliopsida; Cucurbitales; Cucurbitaceae
Description: long non-coding RNA (CSAT_LNC001824)
Source: RNAcentral
CUCAUCAUACAAAAGACAUUUUAUUUUAAAAGGAUACAAAACUUUUCUAAAGAAAAUAAAAAGAGGCUGAUAUUAAAAACACAAGAAUAAUACAAUAGGUCAAAGUUCAACAAUAAAGGAGUUCUAAAAAGACCAAAAACAUAACAAAACAAAAGUUCAUGAUAAGAACAAAAAGAUAACCAUUCAAAAACAAGGAAAAACAAAAGCAUCCCCGCUUCAAGAAACAUCUCAAAUAGAAGAAUCGUGGACGAGCUUUGUGAUGGAACUCGUCGCAAACUCUAAGAAUUCGAUGUUAUUGAAUGAAAUCACAGAAAAGUUAACAAAUCUCUGUUUCCCUCUCUUUCAAGGAAUAACAGAAAGACUCAAAUCCCAAAAAAUACUCAAUCAUCCCUCCCGCCCUUAACAAACUUAUUUAUAUGACUAACCAACCUAUCACUAACCAACCUAUCACUCACACGUGUCUCCCCCCCUUAACAAACUUAUUUUCUCUCCUCCUGUACUGAUAUAAUAUUGGAGGUCUAACAUUACUCUCUUUCUCCAAAUUCACCUUGUCCUCAAGGUGAAAAUCUGGAAAACGCUGCUUCAAUUCCUCAUAUAACUCCUAAGUAGCCUCAUGUUGUGGAAGACCAUUCCACUACACUAACACAUCCCAGUCUCCCGCUUUAUUUUUCGAAUAACUAUAAACCUCCUCGGGAAUAUCUCUCCAUUCAUGAUUUUCUGUUAAACAGGGAACGUCAUGCUUAUCUUCCUUGUGCUCUCCCAACACUUUUUUAAGUUGUGAUACAUGAAAUACCGGGUGUAUGGUAGAAUUCUCUGGUAAUUCCAGCUUGUAAGCCACUUGACCAAUUUUAGCUAUCACCUUGUACGGUCCAAAGAACUUAGGAGAAAGUUUUUCAUUUCUUUUUCUUCUGACAGUCACUUGUCGGUAUGGCCUUGUCUUCAAUAAUACCAAAUCCCCAACCUGGUAAUGAACCUCUCUUCUCUUGGUAUCGGCAUAUUUCUUCAUUUUGUCCUGUGCAACUCUCAAGUGUUCACGUAUGGCCCCUAACACCACAUCUCUUUCUUUCAGCUGUUCAUCUAACAUAGAGUUAGUAGUAUAUCAAGGGAGGUGGUAAACGCCCGUAUAUAACCUGAAACGAUGUGACUCCAAGCGCACGCUGAUAUGUAGUGUUAUACCAAUAUUCUGCCCACGGUAUCCAUUUAACCCAUUCCUUAGGCUUUUCUCCACAAAAGCAACACAAGAAUGUCUCCACUCCACGGUUAACAACUUCUGUUUGACCAUCCGUUUGUGGAUGAUAUGUUGUACUGUGGUUCAACUUCGUUCCUGCCACGCGAAAUAAUUCCCUCCAGAAGUGACUUAAGAAUACCUUGUCUCUAUCUGAAACAAUGGAUUUGGGAUAUCCAUGAAGUCGCACGACCUCCUUCACAAAUAUUUCAGCUACCGUCUUUGCUGUAUAUGGAUGUUUCAUAGGGAUGAAAUGCCCAUAUUUACUGAACCGAUCAACCACUACAAAUAAUACUUCAUAUCCUGCUGCUUUAGGUAAUCCUUCCACAAAAUCCAUUGAAAUAUCCUCCCACACUCGAUUGGGUAUCUCUAACGGAGUUAACAAUCCAGCUGGUGAUAGCGCCAAAGUCUUAUUUCUUUGACAAAUCAUGCACUCUUCGCAAUACUUCUUCACUUCCUGCUUCAUUCCUUCCCAAUGUAACUCUGCAGCCAUCCUUUUAUAUGUCCUUAAGAACCCCGAGUGACCCCCAAAGACCGAAUCAUGAUAAGUGUGUAAGAUGGUGGGAAUUAAUUUAGAUGUUUUAGAUAACUCUAUUCGAUCUUUGUACAUCAGCAUUCCCUGUUUGAUUGAAUACUUUUCCUCCUCCAACUCUUCGGUCUCGCUCAAUUUCUGCAUAACAUUCUUCAGCUUCUCAUCUUGUGCCACUUCUGCCUUGAUGACUUCGAUAUCGAUCAGCUUAGGAGCUGUCAACUGAUUCAAAUGUAUAGUUGGUGGUACUCUGGACAGUGCAUCUGCGGCUUUAUUCUCUAACCCCGGUUUAUACACCACCUCAAAGGAGUAUCCCAGAAGUUUGGAUAUCCAUUUCUGAUAUUGAGGCUAUAUCACUCUCUGUUCUAGCAGGAACUUCAAAGAACGUUGAUCAGUCUUGACUAAAAAACUCUUCCCCAACAAAUAUGGACGCCACCUUUGCACAACCAUUACUACCGCCAUCAACUCUCUCUCAUAUACAGGUUUUACUCUAUCCCUUAUUGCCAAUGUAUGACUAUAAUACGCAAUUGGACGUUGGUUCUGGACUAAUAUAGCCCCCAACCCGAAUCCCGAAGCAUCAGUUUCUAUUUCAAAGGGCACGUUGAAAUCAGGCAGAGCUAACACCGGGAGUGUCAUCAUAGCUUGUUUCAGCCUAUUGAAUGCUUCUUGAACCUCCCCUGUCCAUUUAAAUCCUCCUAUCUUCAAUAACUGUGUCAACGGAGCUGCAAUUGUCCCAUAAUUCUGGACAAACUUGCGAUAAUACCCUGUCAGACCAAGAAACCCCCUUACUUCCCUUACGUUAACAGGAACGGGCCACUCCCUUAUAGCUCUGAUCUUUUCAGGAUCCACUUCAACUCCAUCCCCUGAAAUAAUAUGUCCUAAGUAGUCUACCCGAGACUGAGCAAAGUUACAUUUCUUCAUGUUUGCAUAGAGUUCAUUCCUCAUCAACACUUCCAAUAUUGCUCUCAAAUGACUCAAAUGAUCUUUCAACCCCCUGCUAUAGAUCAAAAUAUCAUCAAAGAAUACCAAGACGAACUUUCUUAGGUAGGGCUUGAAUAUAGUAUUCAUCAAUGAUUGAAAAGUGGAUGGUGCAUUAGUCAACCCGAACGACAUUACCAAAAACUCAUAAUGACCCUCAUGAGUUCUGAAUGCUGUUUUUUCAAUGUCAUCAGAGCUCAUCCUAAUUUGAUGAUACCCUGAUUUCAGAUCAAUCUUCGUAAAAACUGUGGCUCCAUUCAACUCAUCAAACAACUCCUCAAUCAUUGGGAUUGGAAACUUGUCUGGUACGGUUACAUUAUUCAGGGCCCUGUAACCUACACAAAAACGCCAGCCUCCAUCUUUCUUUCUCACCAAUAAUAUUGAACUGGAAUAAGGGCUUGUGCUCGGCCGUAUUAUUCCUGAUGCUAACAUUUCUUCCACUAGUCUCUCCAUUUCUGUCUUCUGUUGAUAUGCAUACCUAUAGGGUCGUACAUUCACUGGAUCAGUUCCCUCCUUUAGAUGAAUCUGGUGUUCUAUUACUCUUCGUAGUGGCAAGGUUUCGGGCCACUCAAAGACAUCUUCGAAGCUUUUUAACACUACUACCACUGACUCCUCUAAAGUCAAGACUUCAUCAAACGAAUCAUCCCCUUCUAAGGAUUCCCUUCUUUCUAAAGCUCUGCAUUCGACCAAAAACCAUUGGUCCUUGUCUCCCCAAGAUUUCAUAAGGGUUUUUAAGCUGACUAUUGCCUUUGUUAGACUGGGGUCUCCCCUUAUAACAACCUUCUCUCCGUGGGGAGUAAAAGUCAGAAUUAAGUUUUUCCAGUCUACUUCAGUUAUACCAAGAGAGUAUAACCAUUGCAUCCCCAAAAUUGCAUCCACGCCUCCUAGCUCCAGCAGCAAGAAAUCAUCAAUAACUCUUCAUUCGCCAAUCAUCAUUUCAAUGGCUUCACAAACUCCCUUCCCUUUUAUAGUCGUUCCAGAGCCUAAUAUGACUCCAUAAUUUGUAGUACUUUUCGUGCUUAUCUGCAGUUCUUCAACUAAGCUUUCAGAGAUGAAGUUAUGUGUAGCUCUGCAAUCUACUAAUACAAUGAUCUCCUUUCCUAGUAAUUUUCCCUUCACCUUCAUAGUUCCUGGAUUGGAUAAUCCCACUACUGAGUUUAUCGACAACUCCACCACAGUCUGCUCUUCUUGGAUAACUUCAGCCACAUUUAACUCUUUCUGUUCUGCCUCCUCUUCUUCAAUGAUUUCAUAUUCCUUAUUAUCCCCCAACACUACCAGCAUACGUAACUCUCUUUGUUCCUUCAUCUUACACUUGUGGUCAUGAGAAUAUUUCUCAUUGCAACGAAAACAGAGUCCUUUCUCUUUUCGUGAUUGAAAUUCGGCAUCAGAUAAUCUUUUCGUUGGGCCUGUUUUCUGUACCUCUUCGCCAGUUGUUCCUCUCAAUGUGACGGUUCUCAUAGGUCAGUUCCAAUUUCCCUUACUUUCUCCAGAAUUCCCAACUGUGCUGGUUUUGCUUCCGCUUCCAGAAUUACUCAGUUUCGUUCCCGAAUAACCAGGAAGGUUUGCUUCUCUUCUAAUAUCCUCUCUAUUUUCUACUUUAUGCGCGAUUCUCAUCAUUUGUGAUAAUCCUUGAGGUUCACAGAAAUUCAUCUCAGCCUGUAUCCAAGGCUUCAAUACUGACAUGAACGUCUCUUCCACCACUUUAUCGGCCAGAUCCGACAGAGGCGCUACUAAUUUAUCAAACAGAUUUCGGUAUUCUUCAACUGUAGUCGUCUGUUGUAUGCGCAAGAAUCGACGGUAUAAAGAUCCUUCCCUUGUUGAUCGAAAUCGGAUCAACACUCUUUCUUUUAAAUUUGCCCAAUCAGCGAAUUUAUCCCGCUCUUCUUGAGACCGAUACCAGUUCAGCGCAGGUCCUUCGAAACUAAUUGUUGCCACGGUCAUCUUUUCGAAAUCAGUUAGCUUAUGAAUUUGAAAAUACCGUUCGGCGCGAAACAACCACGAAUCUGGAUCAUCUCCAUUGAAGAUCGGCAUCUCCACCUUCUUGAAUUUGUUGCGACUGCCGUUAGCGUCUUCAUUCGUUUUUGUUUCUUCCUUCUUCGGUUCGUUUUCGCGAAUGGAAGAUCCCUCGCCGUCAUCGUUGUUCUUCAUCGAAGUACUCCAUAUCGAUAACUCGGUGAUCCUUUCGUUCAUCGUGGAUCUCUCCUAGGCGGCCGAUUCCAUGAAUCGUAUCAUCAUUUGGUUCUGUCUCUCCAUUCCUGUUGCUAAAUCGUUCAAUGCUUUCUCUAUCGCUGGUAAUUUCCCGAUCUCUUUUUUGAUUCCUUGAAUUUCUUGAUCAAACGUUUCCAUUUUUUCCUCCAUUCUGGUCUGCACCAUUUUUUUCUUUCUUGCCCUGAAUCGAUUGCUCUGAUACCAAUUUGAUGGAACUCGUCGCAAACUCUAAGAAUUCAAUGUUAUUGAAUGAAAUCACAGAAAAGUUAACAAAUCUCUGUUUCCCUCUCUCUCAAGGAAUAACAGAAAGACUCAAAUCCCAGAAAAUACUCAAUCAUCCCUCCCGCCCUUAACAAACUUAUUUAUAUGACUAACCAACCUAUCACUCACACGUGUCUCCCCCCCUUAACAAACUUAUUUCCUCUCCUCCUGUACUGAUAUAAUAUUGGAGGUCUAACACUUUGAUGAUCAUACAAUUAGCAAUAUCAAAAUUCAGAAUACUUGCAAGGUAGCAAGACUGUCUUGGAGACAAUAAAUUUCAAGCAUCCAAAAAGUGAUGAGAAAUUUAAAAUUAAUAAAAACACAUAGGGACUAUAUUCUUCAAAGUAACCUCAGAACAGAGUUUCGAUUGUCCAAAAUUCUAUAAUAUUCAGAUUUUUUUUAGUACAAUUUGAUGUAGGGUGCAAGGGACAAGGAUUCGAACAUCUGAUGAUAUAUCCCUUAAACAAUUGAUAUAUGCUUAAGAUGGCUAUGAUAUUUAGACGCUGUUUUAAUAAACUGAGAACGUCAAUUAAUGUAGGAAACUUAAAAAGGGCAAAUAAUGGUAGAAUACUACAACAUCAACAUGACCCCAUAAAAAGUUAAUUUCAUUUCAUUAACUUACUUAUUUUGAGCUGUCUGAAAAUUUGUUUCCUGCUCGUGCUCAUACACCAAUCCAGGAGCAAAUAUGGCAGCCAACACAUCAUCCCUUUUCAGAACUUCCAGUGCAACAUUUGUCUGAUGUGCAAGCAUAUUUUUGUUAAAAAAUUAAUUCUACCAACCCUCGGCUGUAUACAAUUGAACUCAAUAUACAACGAAACAAAGACUAGUAACAAUGCAUUCUUUUAUACAUGAAAGUUGAAAAGGUAUACACAUAGGGAACAUGGGCAAACAUAUAAUUGGUUUUACCUCAAUAACAGAAUUAUAUAUCCAGUUAAUAUCAUAUAUUCAACUAUAAAGGUGUCCAAAUGUAACUAUGAUGCUUGUUGACUAGUGGUAAAACAUGUCAAAACUGAAGGGUUAAUAGGCUUACAUUCCAUCCUCCACCGCCAAAGGUACCCCUCCCAAAAAUUUUAGUUUUCCUCUUUCAUUUUAGUUUUCCUCUUUUCAAGAAAGUUUAAAUUGUUAUUUGUGUUUUGAGUAAUGACCUUAAUUAGUUUAAAAGUUUGAGUUGUUACACAGGUAGUUUAGAAUGCAUAGUCUUAGUUAAAUGGCUAAUGAAUUCUAUCACAUGAGUAACUUGCUGACUACUUAAAGGGAUUUCCAUAUUCAACUACAAAGGAGAACAGGAGAAAAAAUAAGUUAUAAAGAAGUAUUUACACUUAAUAAGCUAUAUGAUUCAUAUGAAAACAUUUCGAAGAAGUCACAAAAAAUGCAGUCUGGGUAGGAAAACUUUAUUAAGCAAUACCAGUCAAUCAUCAAAUCCCAAUGCAAUAGAAGACUCAGGCUAAGCACUCUACAAAAAAUUCAAACGAUCACCUACCAGACCGGUAGUGAUUACAAGAUCGCCAACGAGACAGAUAAGCUCGAGUAAGCUGUCUCCAAAGUGAUACACUGCUUCCAAGCUGCGUCCGUCGGUGAAACCGUAAAGGCUGGUAGCUUCCAAGUUGACAACCAUUUUCACCUGCAAAACUUACAGCUUCCAAGUUGAGACAAUUUAUCUCACCUUCAAUAUUUGCUGCUAGGUUGCUGUCUCCCCUGAAGCAGAAAAGGUGUACAAAAGUAUGAUGGGAACAUUAAUCUGGGUGCAUUGAAACAGAGACCAAUCAACAACAUACAUAUGAGAAUUUGAAAGGGAGGAGGGGGGACAGUUUCUCAACAAACAAUUAUUCUUUGUUUGAUAUCCUCUCAAUGUCUAUAUAGUACUGGUUUAUUCUUGUGUGUGUGAUUGGUUUCAUCACAUUGUCCAUCAGUUUGUCAAUAAAAGGAAGCUUUGGUUUCGCUUAAAAAAAAAAUGAUAUUUGGUAUAUUGAUCACAAAAUUGUCACCAUUAACAGAAUUCACUAAAAUUAGAGAAAUGACAAUUUUCGGUUUGGCAUAUGAAAUGCCAAGCAUCCAAAUAUUAUUGGUAGAAAGGGCAAUCCACAAGUCCCAAAAAUUUAUUGUCCAAUACAUUAAAAAUUAAACCUCUUCAGAGCACCACUCUCGAGCAUUUUGAAACAUCCGCAACCAUGGGCUAGGACCUUCUUUGCUCACGUUCCACUGCUUCGGAUACCAGGGAAACUGCCACAUCAAGAAGCAACGUUCUGGAUGAGGCAUCAUGGCAAGGUGCCUACCAUCUGGAGAACAAAUUGCUGCAACUCCCAGAGGAGACCCAUUUACAUUGAAAGGGUAAACUUCAGUUGGAUUCCCAUCAUCAUCACAGUAUCUUAGUGGAGCUAAGUUAGAGUGGAGAAGACGAUCAAGAACGCCAUCAUCAGGGAAGUAUGCUCUCCCCUCACCAUGGGCAGCCCACACACCCAGACUACUGCCUUCCAUUCCCCUAAACAUUAUAGCUGGUGAAUCCUUAAUGGUUACACUUGUGAAACGACACUCAAAUCGUCCUGAUUCAUUAUGAAUGAACCUUGGUUGUGAUGGAUCCCCACCAGCACCAUGCACUCCACCAACUUGAGGGCCAGGCACCCACCCUAAAAGAGCCAUGAGCUGACACCCAUUGCAAACUCCAAGGCUGAAAGUGUCGGGUCGUUUAUAGAACUCUUGAAAUUGAUUCAACAAAGGUUGGUUAAAUCGAAUUGAAGCAGACCAACCUUUUGCAGAAUCAAGCACAUCUGCAUAACUAAAACCUCCAACAAAUACUAUUCCACGAAACUGCUGUAAAGUGAUAUUUCCAUUCAAGAGAUCAGACAUUGUCACAUCCCAUGGUUCAAAACCAGAAGCAUAAAAUGCAGCAGACAUUUCCCGGUCUCCAUUGCUCCCUUCCUCACGAAUUACAGCUACCUUGGGUUUAAAAGUUGAAGACAAAUAUUUCUCAUCUGUAAAGGAAGGAACAAAAGAUAAUUCCCACAAAGGUUCGUGCCUGGAUUUCAAUCCCUCCUUUUCUGAUUCAACACAAGAAGCCAAUCUUUGCAAUUUCUCCAGCUCAAAACUAGUUGCUUCCCAUACAUCCCUAAGCACAGAAGUUUCCUCAUUCAGGUGAGACACUUUAUCAACCAUGACUUCAAUGGUAGGAGUGGAAGUUACUUGUCCAAUGAUAUCAGCAGUAACACCUGCAGUAGUUAACUCUCUCAAUACCACGUCCAAAUUCUCCUUGCUAACCUCAAGUACAAGUCCUAGCUCUUCUGCAUAAAGUGUCUGGAACAAACUCUUCCCACGUGAUGUCAAGUCCAAGCUGAUGCCACAAUUUCCAGCAAAUGCCAUCUCCAAGGCAGAUACCAGCAAGCCACCAUCGCUAAUAUCAUGACCAGCAGAGAUUAACUCUUUGGCAAGGAGGUCUUGAAUGCUCUCAAAAACUUUUUUGAAGUAAGGAACAUCAUCAAGAUCAGGACAGACAUCCCCAAUUUGGUCAAAAGCAUGAGCAAGAGCUGAUCCACCUAAUCGACGCUCUCCCUUUCCCAAAUCAAUGUGAAGGAUAACACCAUUAUCCCCUAACUUUAAAUCAGGAGUAACAGUUUUUGUUAUAUCAGGACAAGUAACAUAAGCACUAAUUACAAGAUUUCCAGGAGCCUUCACCACCUCUCCACCAGCUUGGGCUGCCAUUGACAGGCUAUCUUUACCUCCAUCAAUAGCAAUGCCAAGUUCAAUCAUAGCCUCUGAAAGAGCCACAGCUGCAUCAUACAUAGCUGCCCCUUCUCCAUCAAGCUUAGCAGCAUACAUCCAAUUUCCACUUGCUUUAACAUCAGAAAGAUGAGUAAUUUUAGCCCAAACAAGAUUAGUGAGUGCUUCUCCAACCGCCAACCUAGCCAUUGCUUUGGGAUCAAGUAGACCUUUUAUGGGUUGUUCCCCUAUUGCACAUGCACCUCCAGUCAAGCCCGAAUAAGAUUGUGCAAUAACUGCAACAUCAGCGAGGGUAAUCUGUAGUGGACCUACAGUUUGUUGCUGAGCUACAAGACCAGUUACACAUCUAUCUACUUUUGUAGUCAAGAAUCGUUUUGAACAUACUGAUGGAAGUCUUAACACUCUAUUAAGAGAAUCUGCCACUGACACUCCAGGAGCAAUCUCAAGUAGCUCCAAAGCAUUAACAACUCGUUGGAAUUCAAAGGUUUUCUGAGGCAUGUCUCCGAGUACUUUCUCAAGCUCAAGGUCCACGGCAGGAGGUGGUGGAGGAAGUCCAUUUGAAAUGCAUUUUUUAGUGGCAAUACUAUCAACCAAAACACAACGACCAUGACCACUAAUUACGCCAAUUACAGCCAUUGAUAACCUCUCUCUAUCACAAAUUGACUGUAACAAGCUCCGACUUUCAGGCUUAACUAAAAUAGCAUCUUGUUCUUGGUAUUCGGCACCCCAAAUCUCCAGCACAGACAUUGUAUGGUCACCGACAACAAUUGCUCGAAUAUCAAUUUCAGCUCCUUUUGGAUAGAUAAUUUCCUUCACAACAUUACAAUUCCCACCAGCUCCUUGAUCAUGAAUACUAAUAAUUGGGUUAUUUUCCCCCAUUUCAACACAAGUGCGAACAACACGAUAAAGUUUUUGUGCCAUCUCAGCAUCUCCACGCUGCACAGCAUUAAAAUCAAGUUCCGCGUCAUUCUGACCACUAACCAUGCUUGAUGCAGCCCCACCUCCCAUACCAAUGCGAUAAGCAGGACCUCCAAUUUUCACAACCAACAUUCCAAUGUCAGGCUCUUCCUUUGAGAUGUGAAAAUGAUCAAUUUGUCCAAUUGCUCCACUGAACAUGAUUGGCUUCAACCACUCUCGUCUUUCACCAUUUGGCAGUCUCAUUCCAAAUGUUCUAGUAUAGCCUUGAAUCAAUGGCUCCCCAAAUUUGUUACCAUAGUCAGAUGCACCAUUACUUGCAUCAAUCAAGAUCUUCAAAGGCGAAGCCAAGUUUGGCGGGUAGGCAAAAGAUGAAUCUUCCCAUGGGGCAUAAGACCCCUCCAUGUUGAGAUUUCCUACACAAUAACCAGCUGUAGCUGCCACAACAAAAGACCCCUUCCCAGUCGCAUGAGUAUCCCUUAUUCGUCCUCCUACACCAGUUUCUGCCCCAGGAUAGGGAGCCACUGCACAUGGAAAAUUAUGUGUCUCGGCUGUAAAUAAAAUAUCAAGAUCACGACUACUUUCUUCUAAAGGGCUUGUUGAACCAGGAGACACAGGUCGCAACUGAUUAGCCAAGAAUCCCCGAAUUGCACUUGAAUUAUCCUUAAAUCCAAUCACUGAAUUGUUAGGAUUUGCCUUCAAGGUGCCCUUCACAAUUUGCAUAAGUGUUCGGCUCAUAGGCUUCCCAUCUAUAACAAGUUUUCCAGUAAAAAACCAAUGUCUGCUAUGUUCGCUAUUGGACUGAGCAAUAUCAAACAACUCCACUGUUGUUGGAUUUCGCUUUAUUUCCUCACUGAAAAGUUUGGUGUAGUAUUGAAGAUCCUGUUCAUCAAAUGCCAAUCCCAUCUCCUGAUUAAUCUCCUCUAGUGCCUUCCGGCCUCGCUCUAAAACAGGCACAAAACGAAACUCCUCAGGUAUCACACUAGUCUCAAACGACCUAAGCCUCUGAACAUAAACACAUUCAGUCAUCCGAUCAUGAACCAUUGCAGCAAACUCAUUAAUCUGUUGAUCUUCUAAUGCACCUUUACUAUACAACAAAUAUCUCCUGGAACGUUCCAUUCGUGUCACCUCUGUUAAUCCACACGCUUGGCAGAUAGAUACAGCAUUAGAAGACCAGGCAGUGGUGAAAGACAAACGAGGUCCAACUUCAACUAUAAUAGAAUCCAGCCCUUUCCGCUGCUUCUUCUCAAGAAAGCUCUCAGUUCCAAAAUUCUCAGGCUCAUAAGUUUCCUGAAGAAGCCAUCUAAGCACAAAUAGCUUAUCAUUGGAAAUCUCAGAUUGAAUCCCAACGUUAAAACACUGCUCAGUUUGCAAACCAAUAAUCUGAUUUGAAAUCUUGGAUUGGACAGACUUGAGAAGCUCAGAAGUGGCACUCUCCUGAAUUAAAGGAACCCGAAAGAAAUGAACAACCUCUGCUGUGGGCUUCUCGACCAAGCUUGAGGCCUCAUCUACUGGACUUGCAACUACCUUACAUUCCACAGCUCUAGAUUUGCUGGAUGCACGACAUCUCAAAGGAACAUAUCUUCUGCUUGAAUUAACUGAUCCCACAGCUGAAGUACGCAGUGUCCCCCACAACCCACGUCGUUUACAAUGAGAAUAGCUCUGCAGAAACAAACUCUGCCUACGCCCACCCUGUCAAAAGCAUAGAAUUGAAGAGCUCAUCAGCAAAGUGAAUACGAGACAAACAACCAUUAUCUACCUUCCUUAAACUAAAAUUAAAUUCUCAAACACCCCAGAAAGCCAAAACAACAAUCAAAUAAAACAAAAACAUACUUGCAGGAAGUCGGCAGCAGUUAUAUCUCCAGCAGUAGCCAUUUAGCUAACCUCCAAAACGAACUCCGCCUGUAAACAACUAACGAUCAACAAUCUUUCGUUUUCAAACAACAGAAAUGGAUACUAGUGAUCAACAACUUUUCGUUUUCAAACACCAGAAAUGGAUACACCCUUUACACGAAUAUGGGAAAGAAGACAGACUCAAUCAAAUCGCUACAAACAAAAAAAAAAAAAAAAUGAAAUGAAAAGGUCAAAACAGUUGAGGUAUAACUACUAACCCCGGAAGCGUCGACGAGUUGGAUGUUAUUGAGAAAAGAAUCGACGGCGCCGGCGAGGGUUCUUAAAGGAUUUUUGGUUCGACGGCGAGGGAAUAACUGAAGAAAAGGCAAGGGGUUGUCUAAGCACGGCGACAGAAGAAGUGAAGAAAGGGGCGAGGGGUUCUCUAAGCACUAAAUCGUGGUGGGUUUAACAAUCAUCUCUCUCUACUUGGAAUUAAUGGUUUUUUACCUUUCUUUAUUUUAUUGUUUUUUUUUAUAAGCUUUCCUUAAUUUAUUUGGUAUUUAUCAUAUUUUUUAAAAUAAUCAGAAAAAUUACUUUUUUUGGUUUUUUCCGAUCAAUUUUUCUCCAAGGUUUAGUUUCAAGAAAAUUGAAGAAAUUAUAUUAAAUUAAUUACUAUGGAACAAAAAAUAUUAAAUGAACGUAUUUAAAAUUGGAGAAUUAUAUUGGACGGCAAAAAUAUUUAUAUAAUUUGUAAGUAUAUGUUCAAGGUUUCCUAAAUUGCAUACAUACCAAAUUACCAAAACUAAUCUUUUUAUUUAUUUUUAAUUGCUAUUGUACUCUUAUAAAAUUCCUAUUGUACCCUUUAUUACAAGACUCCCUAUUUUUCGUUUGGUAGAGUACUCCUCUCGGAAGUGGAUAUCGUUGGUCAUUUGUCGCCGGUUACUUUCUUUGUUCACCUAUCUCUCGAUUGUGUAGAUUUGUCGAAUCUCUAGCUAUACUUAUACUAAUUAGAAAGAUUCUUUAAUAACGAGGAGGAGUUGAUAGGCCAAGCUUCCAUUUAGGUGAAUUAAACCACAAUUGUAGAAGUUUAUACUUUUGAGAAGUGGUUUGAAAAAGGAAAAUUCAAAAGGGAUGUGAAAUUGAAUCAAAAUUGUUGGAUUCUUAUUUGUUUUCAAAGGCACGUGCACUUAAACUUUUUUAUUUUUUUUUAUCAAAUGUUUAAUUAUUUUGUAAAAUGAAUAUGAGAGAAUGAGACGAGUGAUUCAUUUUCGUCAAAAUAAAAAAUAAUGUUGUGCUUUCAGUUUGAUUGUUGUGUGAUUGAUAUAUGUUUUCUAUAUGAUUGUAUGAGAUUAAGUACGUUAUGAAUUCUUUUCAAUUUCUAUGGAUUUUUUAGGUUAUUUUAUUACAUAUUAGGUACUAAACUUACGGUUUAGGGUUUACUUGGUGAUUUCUAUUUUAUUGUACUUUGUGAUUUCUAUUUUAUUGUCUUUUGAAGGGUACCUUCUUCUAUGAUUUUUAUUAAAAAACUAUAAGUUAUAUGAAAAAAUAGAAGGUAAUUAUAUGAAAAUUAGAAGUCAAUCAAACAACCAUUAAAUAACAAAAAGAUAUACACUAACAAUUAAACAAUCAAUAUCAAAUAGCAUAGAUAACAAAAAGAUAUACACUAACAAUUAAACAAUCAAUAUCAAAUAGCAAUUAAGUGUGUCAAACAAUAGAAGUUGCAAUAAGAAAACAAUUGUUAUAUAAAAAUGGCAAUCAAACAAUAUAAAAAAGAGAAAAAGUUCUAGUAAGGAAAUUCAUUAUUUUAUAUGGCAAGGAAUACGAAAAAAAAAUGAAAAAAAAGUACAAUAAGUUUACUCUCUCUAGUGAAAACAUCGCUUGACUCUCAUAGUAUCACAUUUUAAAUGUUGUGUACUAACUUCUCAAAUGUUCAAAUGUUAUUGUAAACAACAUUUUCACAAUAACUCUAUCAAGUUAUCUUUUUUUAAAAAAUAAUUCACCAUUCAAGAAUGUGUAAAAGUUUGUAUGAGAUGUUUAUUAGGCAUCGAAUUCAUGGUUGCAAAUGAACAUAUAAAUUAUUAAUAUUUAAAUAAAAUAAUUUAUUAUUUUAUAUUAUAUCUUAAUGGUGUAUAACUCAAUUCGAUAAACAAAAAUCUAAAGGUUAUUUCAAUUGGUGUGUAUAGCUGGACUUCCCAUAAUAACCUAAAAGAAAUUAUAGUAUAUGAAUACGAUUGGAUACCUUAUCUUUUGAUAAAACUAUGAAUAUGACACACUAUGUAAUUGUUACGAAUGAUGUAAACCAAAUAGGUUAUGUGGGUGAGUUUUUAUAAAAAGAAAGGUUUGAAUUUGAGUUAUUUUUAAUAUAAUGUUUUUCAUAUUCUUUAAAAGGGAUAUUUCAAAUAUAACAAAAAAAAAAAAAAAUCUAUCAUCUAUGGUUUUUUUUUUUUUUUGCUAUAUACCAAACUUCCUCUUUUCUUUUUUUUAUAAUUGUGAAUUAGGGAAGUAAUUUAUUUGUUAAAUUCAAUUGUAUUUUUUAAUUGUAUUGAAUAUGCUUUUUUUUAUUAUAAAUUAGUAAAAUUGAGUCAAUUUAACUAAACUUGGAAAACAUUUUAUUUUAUUUUUAAUUGAGAUGUCUCAUGUUUUAUUUAUUAUUUUGAGUUUAUAUAUUGGUUUAAAUAUCAUCUUGGUCAUUGUAUGUUUAGCUUUUGUUUAUUUUGGUUCGAGUACUUUCAAAAUAUUCUUUUUUGAUCUAUAUACUUUAAACUUCGAUUCAUUCUAAAAGUAAGGAGAUCAAAAUAAACAAUUUGAAGUGUUUGAAAUCUUGGAGCGCACACACGGUGUAAUGAGUUUACAAUGUAUAAAAUUGAUUUUUUUUAAUGGUGGAACCCACAAACUCUUUGAGUCAAACAAAAAAAUGGAGUUCAUAAUUUCAUACUUCCUUACUCCUACUUUCAAAAUCCUCGAAUCAAACAAAUUCGAUAAAGUACAAUGAUAUAAACGAACUAAAAUAAAAAAUAUAAUCACCAAAGUUGUAUUUAAACUUUAUUUAUUUUAGAUUAGUUGGAUUAGUUGAUUUCACAAUGAUUAACUAUAAUGGUUUUUGUAAAACUACAAUUAUGUGCAAACUUCUAUAAUUUAUGAAUGAUUUAUUUAUUUAAUGUUACAAUUUAUCAUUUCAUUUAAAUGUAAGGUUAUGGAAAAUAGUGUGCAUGAGGGGAAAAAGAAACAUAAACUUUAGUUGUAUUUUAAAACAUUAUUUUGAUCAAUAGAAGAGAGGAGAUAGGACGAGUGGAAUCAAUCAUGUACGGUAAAGACUACCACAAAUUACUCUGGUAAAUUCUAACAAUGCUACAGCACUUGGAUACCAACAAAUAAAUUUAGUCGGAAAAAGAACCGAACGAGAAGAAAUAAAGAUAAAAGAAAAAUCAAUAGCACUUUAUUGAAGACCCUCUAAACUUUUAAAAAGUGCCAAUAAGAAAUGUAUUGGCAUUUGUAAUCUUAAAAUUAUAGUUUCGAAUUUCUCAUCCAAAUUUGUACUUAAAAAAACCACUAUAAAAAUGAGAAAACAACCCUAUCACCUCUGAUGUUUUUUUUAAAAACCCACUUUUACUGUUGUUUUUUUUCUAAUAGUACCAUUCAAUCCAAUUUGUCCAAAAAAAACUAAAAAUCAGAACAAUUUUAAAACUGCUCUGAAGUUUAUGUCAAGUAUUUCAAAGAAUGAGAACUUGCAAAAUGGGAAUGUUAAAGUUCUUUGUUGCCAUUGUUUGCCUUCCAAAAAUACAUUAUUCUUUUUCUCCUAAAUGGAAGAAAUUCAAUACUAUUAAUAGAUGAAAGAAAUAUAAUACUAUUGAUAGAUGAAAGAAAUACAAUAUAAAUGGAUACAAACCUCACUCAAAAGUGAAGAAUAGAACAUACAGCCAAACACAAAUCCAAAGGAGAAAACAAGCUCCAAAACAAACAAAGACCCAACAAAGAAACAAGGAACCACAAGCAAACCAAUGAACCACCCAAAGACCAAAAAGAACCAAGAGCUAUAAAACAAUGACAAGAUCCUUCUAUGGAGAAUUGUUUAGUCAUGCUGCACGACCCAUGAACUUCUUAGUCAAACACUUCCCCCAACUUACCAUGAGACGUUCAAAUCGAUAAACGGAGAGUCCUCCAAUUUCUGGAUACUCCCAUCCACCCCACAAACUUGGAUUAUAAAUUUGAAACCUGAGAUGCUGGAAGGAAUUGCAAGGUUAGAGGCAUAAAACGCUUUUACAUGUGCCACCCCAAUAUACUUUGGAACAUUUUGCAACUUGGCAAGGGGAUUUUCGUCUUCCUUGGCUAUUUCCAUGACAUACAUAUUGUAGCGUUCAAAUGCUACCCAACCACUACUGUUAUCUUUCAACUCCCAAGUGAUAUGAACAUCGAGGGUCCUUGUUCCAUCUGGACUUGUAGUCCUUCUGACAUGUGGAGUUUGGACUAGCCAUGAACUAGAAGGAGGAAAUUUUGGUUCCUCAACAGAUCGAACAAUUAUAUUGCCAAGCACUGCAAAGUAUUCAGUUGAUGAACCAGAAACUAGUGGAUUAUUUUUUGUAACUAUUCCAGGUUUGUGUUUUGGCACACCAGUUUGAGGUCUUGAUCUGUAGCAGAUGACAUUUAUAUUUGUCAGUUUGUAUCCACUCAUUUCAAUUCUUCUGACAUGAACAAACCAUUCAGGAGAACCUCCAGGCACUGCAAGUGGAGAUGUCUCAAUCACUUCAGUGAAAUCAGUCGAGAAUUGCUCUUCAAUGUUGGAGACAAGUAAAACCUCUCUCUUAUCUGUACUAGAAAAGAACUCCAAUGAAAGGGCAAGUUGAGAAUCUUCAUUUGACGUUGACUGCAAAAAUUAAGUUGUGGACCAAGGUUGAACUAAUUGUAUAAAGAGUCCUGUUAUUUCCAGUCUAGAACUUUGAUGCACAAAGAGUUCACUUACAGAAUACAUCAGAAAUAAAGGAACAUCCCCUAAAGUGACCUCUCCUUGAAAAAGUCUUAUUUUAGAGUACCGAUUUUGCUCGAGAGUCCCUUUGAAUUCGAUGCUUCCUCCUCCAUUGAAGGCUAUCUCAAAACUAGUGAAUCCAUGCAUUCAGAUGAUGGGAAAUAAAUUUAGGGGUUCAAGAAAUGAAUUGUAGAGCCAACAAAUGUUACUAUUGCUAUUAAUUCUCCACAUUCACAAGAGAAUAGAUACAAGCAUUUCUACUUACUUUGAAUAAGCUUGGACAGAAAGUGAAGUUGAAGCAUCAAUUACAUCAAGUAUGGGCUACAAGAAGUUGCAAAUGUUGAGUAAGAAGAAUUCCGAAAUGGUAACUAACAGGUCUCUUUAUUGCCUUCAGGGGCAUGAGCCAGUAAUAAAAUUAUUUAAUGUACACAGAAUAGGAUCGAAGAAUAGGAUCGGAGAGACGCACACCUUUCAAUAUCCUAAUUACUAGAGAUAUAUUCCUUACCUGAAAGCUUUGACGGGACAAGUUGUUCCAAGACGCAUCUGAUAUUUUUACUCCAUCUAUGAAAACAUGAUAACCAUGACCCUGGAAACGUGGAAAGAGAGAGACUUUGAUUGAGUAGUAAUAUUUGUCACCUAGCUAUUAAUAAGAGACUAACUUUAGGCAAGAGAUUAUUUGUAGCUUUCAAAUUAAUAACAUUUCGACAAGAUGCCAAUGAAGUUGAUAUAAGCAAUAAGACACUCAACAAUUUCUUUCACCAGGUAUCUUAGACCUCUGAAACAAUAUAAAAUCUACUUAAUACCAAAUUAGAAAGUAGGUGGAUUACUUGGAUGUCAACAACGCAACUAUGUGGUAUGCCAAACCAUUCCCGAUGCUCGUAUGUUAUUUAAAUAAAUAAAACAUAUAUUAGUUGUGUUUUGGAGAUACCAAAGAAAUUAUCCAUGAAGAAUCUGAGAUGUAUUUAUUAGGAUUUGUUCUUUUAAAUUAGAGUUUGAAAAUGAAAGCAUGAUAAUGGACUUAUAUCCACUACCAACGCAUUUAACCUUUAGACCAAUGUAAUUCCACUUCCACACACUAUACUAGAGAAAUUUAAAAAGUAUUAGACUCCUCAAGCAAUUGUUUAAGGAACACGUGAUUGGCGAGUUCUAACCUGAUCAAAAUUUGAGUGGAAUGGUAUAAGUUUUGGGUAACUUCGCACUAUUUCCCAUGACUGCUUCACAAGACCCCACCAUCUGUUAAGUCCAAAGUAAAUAAUUUUUUUCAGAUAGGAAUCCAAAGUACGUAAAAUUGAACCGCAUUAAAUUUAGGAAAGCUCAUCAUACAAAAGACAUUUUAUUUUAAAACCAAAACUUUUCUAAAGAAAAUAAAAAGAGGCUGAUAUUAAAAAUACAAGAAUAAUACAAUAGGUCAAAGUUCAACAUAAGAGAGUUCUAAAAAGACCAAAAAAAACAUAAUAAAACAAAAGUUCAAAAAGACAACCAUUCAAAAACAAGGAAAAAUAAAAGCAUCCCCGCUUCAAGGAACAUCUUAAAUGGAAGAAUCGUGGAGGAGCUUUGAUGAUCAUACAAUUAGCAAUAUCAAAAUUCAGAAUACUUGCAAGGUAGCAAGACUGUCUUGGAGACAAUAAAUUUCAAGCAUCCAAAAAAUGAUGAGAAAUCUAAAAUUAAUAAAAACACAUAGGGACUAUAUUCUUCAAAGUAACCUCAGAACAGAGUUUCGAAUGUCCAAAUUUCUAUGAUAUUCAGAUUUUUUUAGUACAAUUUGAUGUAGGGUGCAAGGGACGAGGAUUCGAACAUCUGAUGAUAUAUUCCUUAAACAAUUGAUAUAUGCUUAAGAUGGCUAUGAUAUUCAGACGCUGUUUUUAUAAACUGAGAACGUCAAUUAAGGUAGGAAACUUAAAAAGGGCAAAUAAUGGUAGAAUACUACAACAUCAACAUGACCCCAUAAAAAGUUAAUUU